Molecule: ribosomal RNA, 253 nt
Filed under: uncultured bacterium
Lineage: Bacteria
Description: partial 16S ribosomal RNA
Rfam family: Bacterial small subunit ribosomal RNA
Source: RNAcentral
UACGAAGGGUGCAAGCGUUAAUCGGAAUUACAGGGCGUAAAGAGUGCGUCGGCGGCCUUGUAAGUCGGAUGUGAAAGCCCCGGGCUCAACCUGGGAAUGGCAUUCGAGACUGCAGGGCUGGAGUUUGGGAGAGGGUGGUGGAAUUGCCGGUGUAGCGGUGAAAUGCGUAGAGAUCGGGAGGAACAUCAGUGGCGAAGGCGGCCACCUGGCCUAACACUGACGCUGAGGCACGAAAGCGUGAGCAGCAAACAGG